UUAGGUGCACCAAAUUCUAAUUGGAUUAAAAUUAAAAAUCGAGUUUGACUCAAGCACCAAAAAAGAGUCCCAUAGGACUAGGACUCCUCCAAUUAGGAGACAUCUAAUCUAAAUUAAUUGGGCUCCAAAUUAGAUUUAAAUUUUUAUUUAUUUAAAUCUAAUCUGGUCCUAAUAUGAUUAAUAUUAAUUUAUAUUUUAAUUAAGUUUAAAAUAGUAAUUUAAAUAAGAGUCCCAUAAUCAUGAAAUUUCUUGAUUCCAUGUGCCAAAAGGAGUCCAAAGUUGAACCUGAUUUGUGCGCCUAUAUGACCCACGCCCA
This 316-nucleotide long non-coding RNA is filed under the name Elaeis guineensis (African oil palm). Its description in RNAcentral is "long non-coding RNA (EGUI_LNC051217)". Lineage: Eukaryota; Viridiplantae; Streptophyta; Magnoliopsida; Arecales; Arecaceae. The record is from RNAcentral.